AUCGCCUUAGAGUUUGAUCCUGGCUCAGGACGAACGCUGGCGGCGUGCCUAAUACAUGCAAGUCGUACGCUAGAGGUGAGAGUUGAGAGGUGAGAAGUGAGCGAUCGAAGAAAUUGGCUUUGCCAAUUUCAACAAUAUCUCAUUUCCCAUUUCUCACAUCUCACCUCUAGAGUGGCGGACGGGUGAGUAACACGUGGGCAACCUGCCUGUAAGAUCGGGAUAACUCCGGGAAACCGGAGCUAAUACCGGAUAGUAUCUUUCCUUGCAUGAGGGAAGAUGGAAAGACGGCGUCACGCUGUCACUUACAGAUGGGCCCGCGGCGCAUUAGCUAGUUGGUGGGGUAAUGGCCCACCAAGGCGACGAUGCGUAGCCGACCUGAGAGGGUGAUCGGCCACACUGGGACUGAGACACGGCCCAGACUCCUACGGGAGGCAGCAGUAGGGAAUCUUCCGCAAUGGACGAAAGUCUGACGGAGCAACGCCGCGUGAGCGAUGAAGGUUUUCGGAUCGUAAAGCUCUGUUGUUAGGGAAGAACAAGUACCGGAGUAACUGCCGGUACCUUGACGGUACCUAACCAGAAAGCCACGGCUAACUACGUGCCAGCAGCCGCGGUAAUACGUAGGUGGCAAGCGUUGUCCGGAAUUAUUGGGCGUAAAGCGCGCGCAGGCGGUCUUUUAAGUCUGAUGUGAAAUCUCGCGGCUCAACCGCGAGCGGUCAUUGGAAACUGGGAGACUUGAGUGCAGAAGAGGAGAGCGGAAUUCCAUGUGUAGCGGUGAAAUGCGUAGAGAUAUGGAGGAACACCAGUGGCGAAGGCGGCUCUCUGGUCUGCAACUGACGCUGAGGCGCGAAAGCGUGGGGAGCGAACAGGAUUAGAUACCCUGGUAGUCCACGCCGUAAACGAUGAGUGCUAAGUGUUAGGGGGUUUCCGCCCCUUAGUGCUGCAGCUAACGCAUAAGCACU
Molecule: ribosomal RNA, 959 nt
Filed under: bacterium enrichment culture clone 080212-ABM-Calcigel 1-04
Lineage: Bacteria
Description: bacterial SSU rRNA
Rfam family: Bacterial small subunit ribosomal RNA
Source: RNAcentral